Molecule: ribosomal RNA, 468 nt
Filed under: uncultured bacterium
Lineage: Bacteria
Description: partial 16S ribosomal RNA
Rfam family: Bacterial small subunit ribosomal RNA
Source: RNAcentral
GACGAACGCUGGCGGCGUGCUUAACACAUGCAAGUCGAACGGAAAGGCCCUGCUUUUGUGGUGUGCUCGAGUGGCGAACGGGUGAGUAACACGUGAGUAACCUGCCCUUGACUUUGGGAUAACUUCAGGAAACUGGGGCUAAUACCGGAUAGGAGCUCCUGCUGCAUGGUGGGGGUUGGAAAGUUUCGGCGGUUGGGGAUGGACUCGCGGCUUAUCAGCUUGUUGGUGGGGUAGUGGCUUACCAAGGCUUUGACGGGUAGCCGGCCUGAGAGGGUGACCGGCCACAUUGGGACUGAGAUACGGCCCAGACUCCUACGGGAGGCAGCAGUGGGGAAUAUUGCACAAUGGGCGGAAGCCUGAUGCAGCAACGCCGCGUGCGGGAUGACGGCCUUCGGGUUGUAAACCGCUUUCGCCUGUGACGAAGCGUGAGUGACGGUAAUGGGUAAAGAAGCACCGGCUAACUACGUG